AUUGAACGCUGGCGGCAGGCCUAACCCAUGCAAGUCGAACGAGUGGCGGACGGGUGAGUAAUGUCUGAGAAACUGCCCGAUGGAGGGGGAUAUCUACUGGACACGGUCGCUUAUACCGCAUCCCCUCAGCUGUGCCCAGAUGGGAUUAGCGUGUUGGUGGGGUAACGUCUCACCAAGGCGACGAUCCCUAGCUGGUCUGCGGGGAUGACCAGCAACACGGGAACUGAGACACGGUCCAGACUCCUACGGUAGGCAGCAGUGGGGAAUAUUGCACAAUGGGCGCAAGCCUGAUGCAGCCAUGCCGCGUGUAUGAAGAAGGCCUUCGGGUUGUAAAGGACUUUCAGCGGGGAGGCGUUACCCGCAGAAGAAGCACCGGCUAACUCCGUGCCAGCAGCCGCGGUAAUUC
This 406-nucleotide ribosomal RNA is filed under the name uncultured bacterium. RNAcentral describes it as "partial 16S ribosomal RNA". It matches the Rfam family "Bacterial small subunit ribosomal RNA", at positions 30 to 526 of the family's 1533-position model. The record is from RNAcentral.